UUUAACUGAGCGUUCAGUUACUUGACGUAGACCCGAAACCGGGCGACCUACCCAUGAGCAGGAUGAAGCGAAAGUAAAAUUUCGUGGAGGUCCGAACCCACGAGCGUUGAAAAGCUCGGGGAUGACUUGUGGGUAGCGGUGAAAUUCCAAUCGAGCCCGGAGAUAGCUGGUUCUCCCCGAAAUAGCUUUAGGGCUAGCCUCAAGGUGAGAGAUACGGAGGUAGAGCACUGAAUGUCCUAGGGGGUAUUGCACCUACCGAAGACUAUCAAACUCCGAAUGCCGUCAUCUUAUACUUGGGAGUCAGACUGUGGGUGAUAAGAUUCAUAGUCGAAAGGGCAACAGCCCAGAUCGUCAGCUAAGGUCCCUAAAUGUAAGUUAAGUGGUAAAGGAUGUGGGAUUGCACAGACAACCAGGAUGUUGGCUUAGAAGCAGCCACUCAUUCAAAGAGUGCGUAAUAGCUCACUGGUCGAGUGAUCCUGCGCCGAAGAUUUCCGGGGCUAAAACUUACUACCGAAGCUACGGCAUCAGUAAUGAUGGGUAGGGGAGCUUCCCAUACGGGUUGAAGCAUGACCGUAAGGACAUGUGGACAGUAUGGGAGUGAGAAUGUUGGCAUGAGUAGCGAGAUGUGGGUGAGAAUCCCACAGGCCGUAAACCCAAGGUUUCCAGGGGAAGGUUCGUCCGCCCUGGGUUAGUCGGGACCUAAGCUGAGGCCGAAAGGCGUAGGUGAUGGACAACAGGUUGAUAU
RNAcentral lists this ribosomal RNA (745 nucleotides) under Clostridioides difficile. RNAcentral's name for it is "partial 23S ribosomal RNA". It matches the Rfam family "Bacterial large subunit ribosomal RNA", at positions 683 to 1436 of the family's 2925-position model. Lineage: Bacteria; Bacillati; Bacillota; Clostridia; Peptostreptococcales; Peptostreptococcaceae. The record is from RNAcentral.